CAAGGUCUUGAAUGUUCAGGUCCCUUUCCUGUUUAAGCUCGCUGUUGAUUGGUUGAGCACUGCUACUGGCAAUGCUACUGCCCUUGCUUCCUUCACUACUGCUAAUUCUACUCUCAUUGCUCUCUUUGCAACCCCUGCAUCUGUUCUCAUUGGUUAUGGCAUUGCCCGCUCUGGGGCUUCUGCUUUCAAUGAACUGAGGACUGCCGUGUUCUCUAAGGUUGCUCUGCGAACCAUCCGUCAAGUUUCUAGAAAGGUGUUUUCACAUUUGCAUGACUUGGACCUCCGUUUUCAUCUCAGUCGAGAAACUGGUGGAUUAAAUAGAAUAAUUGAUCGUGGCAGCCGAGCAAUCAAUUUUAUUCUCUCUUCAAUGGUGUUCAAUGUUGUACCAACUGUCUUGGAGAUAUCUAUGGUAUCAGGCAUUUUGGCAUACAAAUUUGGAGCUCCUUUUGCAUGGAUCACGU
Molecule: unclassified non-coding RNA, 461 nt
Filed under: Hevea brasiliensis (rubber tree)
Lineage: Eukaryota; Viridiplantae; Streptophyta; Magnoliopsida; Malpighiales; Euphorbiaceae
Source: RNAcentral